UACGAAGGGGGCUAGCGUUGCUCGGAAUUACUGGGCGUAAAGGGCGCGUAGGCGGACAGUUUAGUCAGAGGUGAAAGCCCAGGGCUCAACCUUGGAAUUGCCUUUGAUACUGGCUGUCUUGAGUACGGGAGAGGUGAGUGGAACUCCGAGUGUAGAGGUGAAAUUCGUAGAUAUUGGGAAGAACACCGGUGGCGAAGGCGGCUAUCUGGACCGUAACUGACGCUGAGGCGCGAAAGCGUGGGGAGCAAACAGG
This 253-nucleotide ribosomal RNA is filed under the name uncultured bacterium. RNAcentral describes it as "partial 16S ribosomal RNA". It matches the Rfam family "Bacterial small subunit ribosomal RNA", at positions 524 to 776 of the family's 1533-position model. The record is from RNAcentral.